UACGAAGGGGGCGAGCGUUGUUCGGAAUCACUGGGCUUAAAGGGCACGUAGGCGGUGAAUCGGGUUGAAAGUGAAAGUCGCCAAAAAGUGGCGGAAUGCUCUCGAAACCAAUUCACUUGAGUGAGACAGAGGAGAGUGGAAUUUCGUGUGUAGGGGUUCAAUCCGUAAAUAUACGAAGGAACGCCAAAAGCGAAGGCAGCUCUCUGGGUCCCUACCGACGCUGGGGUGCGAAAGCAUGGGGAGCGAACAGG
Molecule: ribosomal RNA, 251 nt
Filed under: uncultured bacterium
Lineage: Bacteria
Description: partial 16S ribosomal RNA
Rfam family: Bacterial small subunit ribosomal RNA
Source: RNAcentral